ACUCGAGUGGCGAUCGGGUGAGUAACACGUGGGUGAUCUGCCCUGCACUUCGGGAUAAGCUUGGGAAACUGGGUCUAAUACCGGAUAGGAGCCAUCUUUAGUGUGGUGGUUGGAAAGUUUUUCGGUGUAGGAUGAGCUCGCGGCCUAUCAGCUUGUUGGUGGGGUAAUGGCCUACCAAGGCGGCGACGGGUAGCCGGCCUGAGAGGGUGUACGGCCACAUUGGGACUGAGAUACGGCCCAG
This 241-nucleotide ribosomal RNA is filed under the name uncultured Actinomycetales bacterium. RNAcentral describes it as "partial 16S ribosomal RNA". It matches the Rfam family "Bacterial small subunit ribosomal RNA", at positions 89 to 334 of the family's 1533-position model. The record is from RNAcentral. Lineage: Bacteria; Bacillati; Actinomycetota; Actinomycetes; Actinomycetales.